This is a non-coding RNA of Notechis scutatus (mainland tiger snake), 536 nucleotides long. The record is from RefSeq and is a predicted model, not a curated record. NCBI's taxonomy places the organism in Eukaryota, Metazoa, Chordata, Lepidosauria, Squamata, Elapidae.
UUUUAUCAAGACACGUUAGCUUUGGCUACUUUUCAGGCAGACAAACAGUUCUGUUGAUUUAAGCCUCGUUCCUUCACCUUAAUUUUUGACACUGAACAUAUUUGAUGUCCUUGUCCAUGCAUAGUGGAAAAAUCUUCCAUUUUGAUGUCACAUAAAAUGCUCCCCAUGGCUCCAUGUUUGGAGCAGAGAUGUCCAACGUUGGCACCUUUAAGACUUGUGGACUCCAACUUCCAGAAUUCCUCAUCCAGCCAUACCAGCUGGGGAAUUGUGGGAGUCGAAGUCCUCAAGUCUUAAAGUUGCUGAAAUUGGACACCUCUAGAGAACAGCAUGGCUGGACCUUCAGCAAAUAUUGCAUCCUCUCAGGUAAGCCAAUGCAAGUGGCAGGUGGUGGUGGGGACAGCGAACAGAAGCACUGCAUAAAAAGGUCCAGGGGACAUCAGGUCCUCAGAUGUGUACCUUCCUUCCAUCGGUGUACAUCAUCUCUGAACAUAGCCAUGAAUUCCUUGGUAACUCUCGUACUCCUGGGCCAGAUUAUA